GUAUCUUCGGAUAUGAGUAGAGCGGCGGACGGGUGAGUAACGCGUAGGAAUCUACCUAGUAGAAGGGGAUAGCCCGGGGAAACCCGGAUUAAUACCGUAUACCUCCUUCGGGAGAAAGAAGGCCUCUCUUUGAAGCUUUCGCUAUUAGAUGAGCCUGCGUAAGAUUAGCUUGUUGGUGAGGUAAAGGCUCACCAAGGCGACGAUCUUUAGCUGGUCUGAGAGGACGAUCAGCCACAUUGGGACUGAGACACGGCCCAGACUCCUACGGGAGGCAGCAGUGGGGAAUAUUGGACAAUGGGCGCAAGCCUGAUCCAGCCAUACCGCGUGUGUGAAGAAGGCCUUCGGGUUGUAAAGCACUUUAAGCAGGGAGAAAAAGUUAUAAGUUAAUACCUUAUAACCGUGAUGUUACCUGCAGAAUAAGCACCGGCUAAUUCCGUGCCAGCAGCCGCGGUAAUACGGAAGGUGCAAGCGUUAAUCGGAAUUACUGGGCGUAAAGCGCGCGUAGGUGGUUUGUUAAGUUGGAUGUGAAAGCCCUGGGCUCAACCUAGGAACUGCAUCCAAAACUAACUCACUAGAGUACGAUAGAGGGAGGUAGAAUUCAUAGUGUAGCGGUGGAAUGCGUAGAUAUUAUGAAGAAUACCAGUGGCGAAGGCGGCCUCCUGGAUCUGUACUGACACUGAGGUGCGAAAGCGUGGGUAGCGAACAGGAUUAGAUACCCUGGUAGUCCACGCCGUAAACGAUGACAACUAGCUGUUGGAAGACAACGUCUUUCAGUGGCGCAGCUAACGUUUUAAGUUGUCCGCCUGGGGGAGUACGGCCGCAAGGCUAAAACUCAAAUGAAUUGACGGGGACCCGCACAAGCGGUGGAGCAUGUGGGUUUAAUUCGAUGCAACGCGAAAAACCUUACCUACUCCUGACAUACUUGGGAACUCUUGUAAU
Molecule: ribosomal RNA, 939 nt
Filed under: uncultured marine bacterium
Lineage: Bacteria
Description: bacterial SSU rRNA
Rfam family: Bacterial small subunit ribosomal RNA
Source: RNAcentral